UUUUUUUAUUUGAAUUGUCUAUAAAAGAUUCACUUAUGAUAAUUCUUAUAACAAUACUUCAGGGAUUGUUGGAGUAAUUAAACUAUAUUGGCAUGUUUUAAUUUCUAUGGCACCUUCAUCAGAAUAAAAACUAAAGAGUACAAAAUGGUGAAGUGAUAAUUUGCACUUCACAAUGUCAACAGGAGGAAAAAUAAUAAAUAAAAAAUAAAAGAAGGUAAUAAUGGGAGUAAGUUUUAAAAAGAAUGUUAAAUAAAAUUUGUUGAAUAGUGUUUAAUCAAAUUUUGCAGAGGUACAUGCUUCCAAUUGGCUUCGCUCAGAGUUACUGCCUCUAAUUGGGACCACUCUGCCGGGGGUACUGCUUCUAAUUAGCUUUAGCAGACAGAGGUAUAUAUGUACUGCUUCCAAUCAGCUUCGCAACAAGACAGAGGGUAUGUGCUCCCAAUUAGCUUCACUAAGAGGUACAUGCUUCCAAUUGGCUUCGCUCAGACAAACAUACUUCUUCCAGUGUUGAAAUAGUACGGUAAGCAAGUCUGUACUACAUCCAGCAUCGUAAAUGGUACAUAAUUGCAAGUCAAAUGUCGUCCAAAUUUACAAAAACAUAUUUUAUUUAACAUUCUUGAUCCAGUUAAAGUUCACAUCUACGUUCACUCCCUAUUUGUAAUUUAUCCUGAUGGUGUCAUUGUCAAAUGCAAAUUAACAUUACAGAAUUCUGAAUUCUGUACUUUCCUUUAGUUCAGUUUCAAUCCUGAUGAAGGACCCAUAGGAACCAAAAUAUGUCUUAUUGAUUCACUGUAGCAAUCCCUAUAGUAUUUUUCUUAUCUUUUGAUUGAAAGAAGCAUCUGUUCAAGUUUGGUAAAAAUCCAGAAUAGUUUAUGAAUCUAAUAAAUGUUUAAAAAA
Molecule: long non-coding RNA, 897 nt
Filed under: Mytilus galloprovincialis (Mediterranean mussel)
Lineage: Eukaryota; Metazoa; Mollusca; Bivalvia; Mytilida; Mytilidae
Source: RNAcentral